CGCUGGCGGCAUGCCUUACACAUGCAAGUCGAACGGCAGCAUGAUCUAUCUUGCUAGAUUGAUGGCGAGUGGCGAACGGGUGAGUAAUACAUCGGAACGUGCCCUGUAGUGGGGGAUAACUAGUCGAAGGAUUAGCUAAUACCGCAUACGACCUGAGGGUGAAAGUGGGGGACCGCAAGGCCUCAUGCUAUAGGAGCGGCCGAUGUCUGAUUAGCUAGUUGGUGAGGUAAAGGCUCACCAAGGCGACGAUCAGUACCUGGUCUGAGAGGACGAUCAGCCACACUGGGACUGAGACACGGCCCAUACUCCUACGGGAGGCAGCAGUGGGGAAUUUUGGACAAUGGGGGCAACCCUGAUCCAGCAAUGCCGCGUGUGUGAAGAAGGCCUUCGGGUUGUAAAGCACUUUUGUCCGGAAAGAAAUCGCACUUACUAAUAUUAGGUGUGGAUGACGGUACCGGAAGAAUAAGGACCGGCUAACUACGUGCCAGCAGCCGCGGUAAUACGUACGGUCCAAGCGUUAAUCGGAAUUACUGGGCGUAAAGCGUGCGCAGGCGGUUGUGCAAGACCGAUGUGAAAUCCCCGGGCUUAACCUGGGAAUUGCAUUGGUGACUGCACGGCUAGAGUGUGUCAGAGGGGGGUAGAAUUCCACGUGUAGCAGUGAAUGCGUAUAGAUGUGGANGNAUACCGAUGNCGANNGCAGCCCCNNGANANACACUGACGCUCAUGCACGAANGCGUGNGGAGCAAACAGGAUUAGAUACCCUGGUAGUCCACGCCCUAAACGAUGUCAACUAGUUGUUGGGGAUUCAUUUCAUUAGUAACGUAGCUAACGCGUGAAGUUGACCGCCUGGGGAGUACGGUCGCGAGAUUAAAACUCAAAGGAAUUGACGGGGACCCGCACAAGCGGUGGAUGAUGUGGAUUAAUUCGAUGCAACGCGAAAAACCUUACCUACCCUUGACAUGCCACUAAUGAAGCAGAGAUGCAUUAGGUGCUCGAAAGAGAAAGUGGACACAGGUGCUGCAUGGCUGUCGUCAGUUCGUGUCGUGAGAUGUUGGGUUAAGUCCCGCAACGAGCGCAACCCUUGUCUCUAGUUGUUUCGAAAGGGCACUCUAGAGAGACUGCCGGUGACAAACCGGAGGAAGGUGGGGAUGACGUCAAGUCCUCAUGGCCCUUAUGGGUAGGGCUUCACACGUCAUACAAUGGUGCAUACAGAGGGUUGCCAAGCCGCGAGGUGGAGCUAAUCCCAGAAAAUGCAUCGUAGUCCGGAUCGGAGUCUGCAACUCGACUACGUGAAGCUGGAAUCGCUAGUAAUCGCGGAUCAGCAUGCCGCGGUGAAUACGUUCCCGGGCCUUGUACACACCGCCCGUCACACCAUGGGAGUGGGUUUUGCCAGAAGUAGUUAGCCUAACCGCAA
RNAcentral lists this ribosomal RNA (1414 nucleotides) under uncultured Ralstonia sp. Its description in RNAcentral is "bacterial SSU rRNA". It matches the Rfam family "Bacterial small subunit ribosomal RNA". Lineage: Bacteria; Pseudomonadati; Pseudomonadota; Betaproteobacteria; Burkholderiales; Burkholderiaceae. The record is from RNAcentral.